Molecule: ribosomal RNA, 275 nt
Filed under: uncultured bacterium
Lineage: Bacteria
Description: partial 16S ribosomal RNA
Rfam family: Bacterial small subunit ribosomal RNA
Source: RNAcentral
UUAUGCCUACGGGAGGCAGCAGUGGGGGAUAUUGGACAAUGGGGGAAACCCUGAUCCAGCGAUGCCGCGUGAGGGAAGAAGGUUUUCGGAUUGUAAACCUCUGUGGAGGGGGACGAUAAUGACGGCACCCCUUUAGGAAGCCACGGCUAACUACGUGCCAGCAGCCGCGGUAAUACGUAGGUGGCGAGCGUUGUCCGGAAUUACUGGGGGUAAAGGGAGUGUAGGCGGCCUGCUAAGUCUGAAGUGAAAGGUACCGGCUCAACCGGUACAGGCCC